UACGGAGGGUGCAAGCGUUAUCCGGAUUCACUGGGUUUAAAGGGUGCGUAGGUGGGCAGGUAAGUCAGUGGUGAAAUCUCCGGGCUUAACCCGGAAACUGCCAUUGAUACUAUCAGUCUUGAAUACCGUGGAGGUAAGCGGAAUAUGUCAUGUAGCGGUGAAAUGCUUAGAUAUGACGUAGAACACCAAUUGCGAAGGCAGCUUACUACCCGAAUAUUGACACUGAGGCACGAAAGCGUGGGGAUCAAACAGG
Molecule: ribosomal RNA, 253 nt
Filed under: uncultured bacterium
Lineage: Bacteria
Description: partial 16S ribosomal RNA
Rfam family: Bacterial small subunit ribosomal RNA
Source: RNAcentral